Drosophila obscura is the source of this 1064-nucleotide long non-coding RNA. RefSeq lists it as uncharacterized. The transcript has 3 exons. The record is from RefSeq and is a predicted model, not a curated record. Lineage: Eukaryota; Metazoa; Arthropoda; Insecta; Diptera; Drosophilidae.
GGUCAUGGCGACAAAAAAAAAACACACACAUUGCCCAACGCUCUUUGAGUACUGAGUAAACAAGGCAGAGGCAGUCGCCUCUCUUCAGCAGAAGCAGAUGAUUCAAUGUGUGAUAUUUGAUGGUGGAUCGAGCGGUUGGUGAUUAUGAAAUAAAAUACAAUUCAAAUCACAAUCGCCUAUACAUAUAGUCAAAUGCUCUAAAAAUCGAAACAACUACAAUAAAAUCUUUCAUUUGCUUGUUAUAAUUCAGAGAUGAAAAUGCUGAUUGGAAUCGGUAAAAAAGAUGAUUGAGAAGGGGAGGAAAUGGUGUCGGAGACGCCAACACAGGCCAGCGGGAUAACGGUACAUGAACGCACACUCAAACACUCAAACAAACACACACAGGCCGAAACAAUUGCUGUUGUCCAGCUCGAGAGCUCGAAUUCGAAUUUCGAACUCAAACUUAUUCAAGUGGAAACCAAUUGGCAUUUCAAUCACGCAUCAAUCUGGCACGUUUUUAUGAUGCAGAUCACAAGGCGAAGCGAAGCAGCACAGCAACAGGCACAAGCACAGGCAGCUACAACAAUGUUGCUCAUGAUUAUCAACAUGAUGAUCAUGUUGCUGUGGAAUGAGGAUGAGAAUGACGAACUGGACACAGCACGAGGCAGCAGCACACAGACUGGACAUGACUGGACUCCUCCCUUGCAGAGAGUAAUGCCAUUUUUAAAAGAAUUUUGUAACGAAAGGAAGAAACCCACAUGAAAUAUAUGCUCAGAUGUAUUCCUGUAGAAGGUGAUUUCCACAGCGAAACGAUAUAUCCAUGAUGAAAUAUUAUCAAAAUCUGAUCACUAAAUCGUACAGCUGUCGGAAGAUGAACAAAUUCGAAUCACUCCACUCUGGUGUCAUGGUAAUAAUGAUGGCAAGAGUAUCCAAGCUUCGAUUCGUGUGGCAAGUUGAAAAAUGAAAUUUUUAUUGGUCGGUUAAGUUUUCGUUACAUUUCGUGGUUUGUUAUAAAUUUCAUUGAUAAUUGCCAUAUAUUGAUGGCAUGAUUAUGUGCAUGAUUGUCUGAUUGUUACUGUUACUGU